Molecule: small nucleolar RNA, 105 nt
Filed under: Triticum aestivum (bread wheat)
Lineage: Eukaryota; Viridiplantae; Streptophyta; Magnoliopsida; Poales; Poaceae
Description: Small nucleolar RNA snoR99
Rfam family: Small nucleolar RNA snoR99
Source: Rfam by way of RNAcentral
UAUCUAAUAUGGGGGUAAGCAGUCCCUUACACCUGAUAACCAUCCUCUUCACUUUUUCUGCUGAAACCUUCUGUUUUUAGCUGGACAUCAAGGGAUGAGAUAUUU